CAAUAGCGUAUAUUAAAGUUGUUGCAGUUAAAAAGCUCGUAGUUGGAUCUCGGGUGCAGGCUAGCGGUUCCACUCUCGUGGACACUGCUCGUCCUGACCUCACUGGUCGGUCUCCUCUUGGUGCCCUUGACUGGGUGUCUCGAGUGGCCGGAACGUUUACUUUGAAAAAAUUAGAGUGUUCAAAGCAGGCAGUUCGCCUGAAUAAUGUUGCAUGGAAUAAUGGAAUAGGACCUCGGUUCUAUUUUGUUGGUUUUCGGAAAUCGACUUAAUGAUUAAUAGGGACAGUCGGGGGCAUUUGUAUUCAAACGACAGAGGUGAAAUUCUUGGACCGUUUGAAGACAAACUACUGCGAAAGC
Molecule: ribosomal RNA, 356 nt
Filed under: uncultured eukaryote
Lineage: Eukaryota
Description: bacterial SSU rRNA
Rfam family: Eukaryotic small subunit ribosomal RNA
Source: RNAcentral